This 482-nucleotide long non-coding RNA is filed under the name Setaria viridis. RNAcentral describes it as "long non-coding RNA (SVIR_LNC000263)". The record is from RNAcentral. Lineage: Eukaryota; Viridiplantae; Streptophyta; Magnoliopsida; Poales; Poaceae.
AUUCUACUAAUGGUGGCUAAUAUUCCUUAGAGCACUUCCGAGGUGGUGGAUAUCUUCAUGGAGUAUGAGUGGAGUGUGGGUGGAGGUCUUUGGUGAUCUUGCUUCUUUGGUGAUUUCCUGAUGCGGUGGUGGUUUGGUGUCUGCUUCCUCGAUGCCUGAAUGCUUCACCUGGCAGCUCCUUUUAUACCCGCAGCAGAGGCUUCGGGAGUCUCAUCCUUUUCUGUUGCCUGGAUAGCUGGACGGCGCUCCUCUCCUCAAUAAUUGUCCUGGCUACAGUAGAGUCACUGUUUAUUUCUUUUGCCUUAUCCUCUAUCGCGCACUAUCUUCUCGUGAUAUUCUGGAUGCUACUUGGUAUUGUCUUCCAUGCCCAAAUCAUUAACGUCGCAGACUUUAAUCACAACAUCAUGGCAUGUAAUAUGCAGUAUUAUUCUACUAUUCUUCCCCUGGCCGAAUUGUUGUUAACACCUUAAAAAUAGAGGGAA